This 209-nucleotide ribosomal RNA is filed under the name uncultured bacterium. RNAcentral's name for it is "partial 16S ribosomal RNA". It matches the Rfam family "Bacterial small subunit ribosomal RNA", at positions 1292 to 1500 of the family's 1533-position model. The record is from RNAcentral.
UUCGGACUGCAGGCUGCAACUCGCCUGCACGAAGUUGGAAUUGCUAGUAAUCGUGGAUCAGCAUGCCACGGUGAAUACGUUCCCGGGUCUUGUACACACCGCCCGUCACACCAUGGGAGCCGGUAAUACCCGAAGUCAGUAGUCUAACCGCAAGGAGGACGCUGCCGAAGGUAGGAUUGGCGACUGGGGUGAAGUCGUAACAAGGUAGC